UUAUACGGAUGUAUUAAACUAUUACCAACUACUCAAAGAGUAAUUCCUGCAGUCACGAAAGCUUCAAAUCAAGUUAUUACCAACUAAAUUUCGAUUUAAAGCUUUCGUGACUGC
Petromyzon marinus (sea lamprey) is the source of this 114-nucleotide non-coding RNA. NCBI's taxonomy places the organism in Eukaryota, Metazoa, Chordata, Hyperoartia, Petromyzontiformes, Petromyzontidae. The record is from RefSeq and is a predicted model, not a curated record.